Molecule: long non-coding RNA, 431 nt
Organism: Daphnia carinata
Lineage: Eukaryota; Metazoa; Arthropoda; Branchiopoda; Diplostraca; Daphniidae
Exons: 3
Source: RefSeq, a predicted model, not a curated record
AAGCUUCCCCUACGGUUUGUACGAAAGUCGAUUGCAUCUGCUAAGAAUCGGCUUCAAUACGCAAACGCACUUUGAAUGCAGAGCCAAUGCCAGUGGACGAAUCAUUUCGAAAUUCAUUUCUUUAACAGUUCAAGAAAACAUCGAUCCAGUGGAUGUAGAAUUGGAAAGAGGAACUGCUCAAAAUUUGACUUGCAAUCGAUCAACUGAUGACAUCCACAUCCAAUGGUUCAAGGAUAACGAGGAAUAUUCGGGAUUAAUCUAUACAAGGGAUACUUCAUCAAUUUUACCACUAAACGGAAGUGAUGGACAAAACGGAAAUUAUUCUUGUCAUUGGAACAACAGCCGCGGGGAAACGAGAUUUCGAAAUUUCAAUUUUCCUGACGAACCGAGAUUUCGAAAUUUCAAUUUUCCUGACAUACUAAAAUCUAACG